GAGCGGGAUCCAUCCAGUGGCAACACUGGGGAAGAUCUAGCGGCGAACGGGUGAGUAACACGUGAGAAACUUGCCCCGGAGUACGGGAUAACCCGAGGAAACUCGAGCUAAUACCGUAUGCCCUCUUCUGAUCGCAUGGUCGGAUGAGGAAAGAUUUAUCGCUCCGGGAGAGUCUCGCGGCCUAUCAGCUAGUUGGCGGGGUAACGGCCCACCAAGGCAUCGACGGGUAGCUGGUCUGAGAGGACGAUCAGCCACACUGGGACUGAGACACGGCCCAGACUCCUACGGGAGGCAGCAGUGGGGAAUCUUGCGCAAUGGGCGAAAGCCUGACGCAGCAACGCCGCGUGCGGGAUGAAGGCCUUCGGGUUGUAAACCGCUUUCAGCAGGGAAGAAAUUGACGGUACCUGCAGAAGAAGCCCCGGCCAACUACGUGCCAGCAGCCGCGGUAACACGUAGGGGGCGAGCGUUGUCCGGAUUUAUUGGGCGUAAAGAGCUCGUAGGCGGCUCACUAAGUCGGGUGUGAAACCUCCAGGCUCAACCUGGAGACGCCACCUGAUACUGGUGUGGCUAGAGUCCGGUAGGGGAGUGUGGAACUCCUGGUG
RNAcentral lists this ribosomal RNA (602 nucleotides) under Aciditerrimonas ferrireducens. RNAcentral's name for it is "bacterial SSU rRNA". It matches the Rfam family "Bacterial small subunit ribosomal RNA", at positions 64 to 675 of the family's 1533-position model. The record is from RNAcentral. Lineage: Bacteria; Bacillati; Actinomycetota; Acidimicrobiia; Acidimicrobiales; Acidimicrobiaceae.